GACGAACGCUGGCGGCGUGCUUAACACAUGCAAGUCGAACGGAAAGGCCCUGCUUUUGUGGGGUGCUCGAGUGGCGAACGGGUGAGUAACACGUGAGUAACCUGCCCUUGACUUUGGGAUAACUUCAGGAAACUGGGGCUAAUACCGGCUAGGAGCUCCUGCUGCAUGGUGGGGGUUGGAAAGUUUCGGCGGUUGGGGAUGGACUCGCGGCUUAUCAGCUUGUUGGUGGGGUAGUGGCUUACCAAGGCUUUGACGGGUAGCCGGCCUGAGAGGGUGACCGGCGACAAGGGGACUGAGAUACGGACCAGACGGCAACGGGAGGCAGCAGGGGGGAGUAUUGCACAGUGGGCGGAAGUCAGAGGCGACAACGCUCCGUGCGGGAAGACGGGCUACUGGUGGAGAACAGAUGUGGCCUGAGACGAGGCGUUAGUGACGGUAACGGGUAAAGAAGCACCGGCUAACUACGUG
Molecule: ribosomal RNA, 468 nt
Filed under: uncultured bacterium
Lineage: Bacteria
Description: partial 16S ribosomal RNA
Rfam family: Bacterial small subunit ribosomal RNA
Source: RNAcentral